GAUGAACGCUGGCGGCGUGCCUAAUACAUGCAAGUCGAGCGAACAGACGAGGAGCUUGCUCCUCUGACGUUAGCGGCGGACGGGUGAGUAACACGUGGAGAACCUACCUAUAAGACUGGGAUAACUUCGGGAAACCGGAGCUAAUACCGGAUAAUAUAUUGAACCGCAUGGUUCAAUAGGGAAAGACGGUCUUGCUGGUACUUAUAGAUGUCUCGGCGCCGCAUUAGCUAGUUGGUAAGGUAACGGCUUACCAAGGCGACGAGGCGUAGCCGACCUGAGAGGGUGAUCGGCCACACUAGAACGGUGAGGAGGUCCAGGCUCAUAGCGAAGGCAGCAGUCGGGACUCUUCCGCCACGGGCGACAGCCUGAUGGAGGACCGCCGCAUGAGUGAUGAGGGUAUAGGGAUCGUAAAACUCUGUUAUUUGGGAAGAACAAAUGUGUAAAUAACUAUGCACAUCUUGACGGUACCUACUCAGAAAGCCACGGCUAACUACGUG
Molecule: ribosomal RNA, 497 nt
Filed under: uncultured bacterium
Lineage: Bacteria
Description: partial 16S ribosomal RNA
Rfam family: Bacterial small subunit ribosomal RNA
Source: RNAcentral